RNAcentral lists this ribosomal RNA (528 nucleotides) under Triticum aestivum (bread wheat). RNAcentral's name for it is "partial small subunit ribosomal RNA". Lineage: Eukaryota; Viridiplantae; Streptophyta; Magnoliopsida; Poales; Poaceae. The record is from RNAcentral.
AUGUCCAUGUCCAAAUCGAUUAGGUCAUCUCUACAUGGCCGCUCAGUGGUGUUGCCAUCGUUCCCUUGGCCUUACUAUGACGAGGUUGUCAAGUUCUACGUCUCCGGCACCGAGGAGCAUGAUGUCGGCGUCUCCCCUGCCGUCAACCCGAGAGUGCUCCCGGCGGCCGCCUCCUCAAACGACACGCUGCAGCGCGGCAUCGUCGCCACCAACCAGACCGCGAACAGCGUGACGUCCACGCUGCACAUCAUCUCAGACCUCGUGCGCGACCUCAACACCUGCACUGGGUACUACACGACCAUGGCCAAGACGGUGGCCGCCGCCCUCGACGACCUUCACGCCGGACGCGUCGUCAACGCGACCGAUAAGCUGAACGACGCCCUGGGCGCGCCUAGUGACUGCGACAUCUUGCUGAGCGGCGUAGGAGUGAUCGGGAAGGUCGAUCGUAAUCCCAUUCGGAAGGAGAACGGCGACAACGAGAAGCUUGUCCAGUUAGCCAUCAACAUCUUGGACCCGCCGAGAAGCUAG